Molecule: non-coding RNA, 1080 nt
Organism: Xyrichtys novacula (pearly razorfish)
Lineage: Eukaryota; Metazoa; Chordata; Actinopteri; Labriformes; Labridae
Source: the annotation of a GenBank genome assembly
CUCCUCCCGCGCACUCUACAGUAGUGGAUGGAAGGUGAGCGACCUACACAAACAAAAAUACACGUAACUCGCUGAAAUCUUGACGGAUUUAAAAACGUUUUGGUUUAUUAAAAACCUUAUUAACGUGGCUAUGAUUCAGGCCGCGUGGAAAUGUUGAAAGUGCAGCUUUUCUUUUCGAAAAUCGAUUUCAUUUUGUUGCAUAGUUGUGUGUCUGUCACAGCCAUUGAUUUGCAAGGCUGCAAUUUGGGAGUUUCAGUUAUUACAUACGUUUCCGUGAGACCAAUAAGAAAUUGUGACAACCACAUAUUUUGUAUAAAUGACGAUUUUUGUGGAUGUAGUUGUGUUUAUUAACUAGCAAAGAAACAAGAGGUUGUGAAUGUGACAUAGUGGUCCACUGGGACUAUUACAAAGUAGCCUAGACAUAAUUCUUUACAGGUGGGAAAGGCAGAAUUACCCCUUUGUUUUAACAUACAUAAUAUGUUUCCAAGCUGUUUCAUUCGUAAAAUAUAUCCUUAAUUUAGAUUCAUUGUGAUACAGUAAAUGCCUGGCUUUGUGUUUACAGAAAUACCCCGACAGUCCAAGAUGCCAGACUUUUGUGCUGCACAUGGAUGCUCAAAUGAACGUUCUGUUCAAACAAGAGCCCGUGGAAUCACCUUUCACUCGUAAGAAAUGACUUGAGGGACAUAUUUAGGAUAAUUGUUACUAACUUAGUUAAAUUUGUAUUUGCACAAUACACGUUAUUUUCACCCUGACGUUUUAGAAAUAUUUCUACCAUUUGUUUACAUAAUAAUCAUUGAAUAUUUAUUUUUCACAUUUUUUUUUACAUGUUACUGUUAUUGACUUAUUUAAGUUUACAUAAUGACAUUCAAGCAUAGGCUUUAUGAAUUACCCCAACAGUAUCAUAAUUUAGCUCUAGUUCUGUCCCUGUUUUUCAAAUUAAGGCUGCACCAUAAUGCUUAAAUGACUACGCUUAGCGUACAGAAAGACAAUGUGAGACAAUAGCUCACCAAAACAGUCCUUUUCAAGGGGCAGUAGCUCAAACUGUCCGUGCACUUGUAUAUAUGUUGGUUUUGUUGCGAC